This 419-nucleotide ribosomal RNA is filed under the name bacterium. RNAcentral describes it as "partial 16S ribosomal RNA". It matches the Rfam family "Bacterial small subunit ribosomal RNA", at positions 355 to 776 of the family's 1533-position model. The record is from RNAcentral.
UGGGGUAUAUUGCACAAUGGGCGAAAGCCUGAUGCAGCGACGCCGCGUGGGGGAUGAAGGCCUUCGGGUUGUAAACUUCUUUUGCUCUGAACAAGGCAUGCUAAUGGGUGUGUUGAGUGUAGGGGUUGAUUAGCGCCGGCUAACUACGUGCCAGCAGCCGCGGUAAUACGUAGGGCGCGAGCGUUGUCCGGAAUUAUUGGGCGUAAAGGGCUUGUAGGUGGCUGGUUGCGUCUGUCGUGAAAGCUCAUGGCUUAACUGUGGGUUUGCGGUGGGUACGGGCUGGCUUGAGUGCAGUAGGGGAGGCUGGAGUUCCUGGUGUAGCGGUGGAAUGAGCAGAUAUCAGGAGGAAUACCGGUGGCGAAGGCGGGUCUCUGGGCUGUUACUGACACUGAGGAGCGAAAGCAUGGGGAGCGAACAGG